Molecule: ribosomal RNA, 410 nt
Filed under: uncultured Gammaproteobacteria bacterium
Lineage: Bacteria; Pseudomonadati; Pseudomonadota; Gammaproteobacteria
Description: bacterial SSU rRNA
Rfam family: Bacterial small subunit ribosomal RNA
Source: RNAcentral
AAUGGGCGGAAGCCUGAUCCAGCCAUCCCGCGUGCAGGAUGACUGCCUAUGGGUUGUAAACUGCUUUUAUGUAAGAAGAAAGCGAGCAUUUAUGUUCGUAUGACGGUAUUAUAUGAAUAAGCACCGGCUAACUCCGUGCCAGCAGCCGCGGUAAUACGGAGGGUGCAAGCGUUAUCCGGAAUCACUGGGUUUAAAGGGUGCGUAGGCGGUUUAAUAAGUCAGAGGUGAAAGGUUGUCGCUUAACGAUAAAAUUGCCUUUGAUACUGUUAGACUUGAAUAAAGAUGAGGUGGGCGGAAUGUGACAUGUAGCGGUGAAAUGCAUAGAUAUGUCAUAGAACACCAAUUGCGAAGGCAGCUCACUAGACUUUAAUUGACGCUGAGGCACGAAAGCGUGGGGAGCGAACAGGAUU